This 262-nucleotide ribosomal RNA is filed under the name uncultured bacterium. Its description in RNAcentral is "partial 16S ribosomal RNA". It matches the Rfam family "Bacterial small subunit ribosomal RNA", at positions 793 to 1055 of the family's 1533-position model. The record is from RNAcentral.
GUCCACGCCGUAAACGGUGGGUGCUAGUUGUGGGCUCCAUUCCACGGAGUCCGUGACGAAGUUAACACAUUAAGCACCCCGCCUGGGGAGUACGGUCGCAAGACUAAAACUCAAAGGAAUUGACGGGGGCCCGCACAAGCGGCGGAGCAUGCGGAUUAAUUCGAUGCAACGCGAAGAACCUUACCAAGGCUUGACAUAUAGAGGAAACGUGCAGAAAUGUACGCCCCGCAAGGUCUCUAUACAGGUGGUGCAUGGUUGUCGU